Non-coding RNA from Acanthosepion pharaonis, 114 nucleotides. The record is from the annotation of a GenBank genome assembly. NCBI's taxonomy places the organism in Eukaryota, Metazoa, Mollusca, Cephalopoda, Sepiida, Sepiidae.
UUACGGCCACAUCACAUUGAACCACCACUUCCUGUGCAAUCACCAAAGUUAAGCAAUGUCAAGCUUGGUCAGUACCUAGAUGGGUGACUGCUUGAAAAUACCAAGUGCUGUAAG